GUGUUCACUUUGGCAGCACAUGCACUAAAAUUGGGGGGAUGCAGAGAUUAGCAUGGCCCCUGUGCAAGAUGACAUAUGAAUUUGUGAAGCGUUCCAUAUUUUA
Small nuclear RNA from Phyllostomus discolor (pale spear-nosed bat), 103 nucleotides. Lineage: Eukaryota; Metazoa; Chordata; Mammalia; Chiroptera; Phyllostomidae. The record is from RefSeq and is a predicted model, not a curated record.